GACGAACGCUGGCGGCGUGCUUAACACAUGCAAGUCGAACGGAAAGGCCCUGCUUUUGUGGGGUGCUCGAGUGGCGAACGGGUGAGUAACACGUGAGUAACCUGCCCUUGACUUUGGGAUAACUUCAGGGAACUGGGGCUAAUACCGGAUAGGAGCUCCUGCUGCAUGGUGGGGGUUGGAAAGUUUCGGCGGUUGGGGAUGGACUCGCGGCUUAUCAGCUUGUUGGUGGGGCAGUGGCUUACCAAGGCUUUGACGGGUAGCCGGCCUGAGAGGGUGACCGGCCACAUUGGGACUGAGAUACGGCCCAGACUCCUACGGGAGGCAGCAGUGGGGAAUAUUGCACAAUGGGCGGAAGCCUGAUGCAGCAACGCCGCGUGCGGGAUGACGGCCUUCGGGUUGUAAACCGCUUUCGCCUGUGACGAAGCGUGAGUGACGGUAAUGGGUAAAGAAGCACCGGCUAACUACGUG
This 468-nucleotide ribosomal RNA is filed under the name uncultured bacterium. RNAcentral's name for it is "partial 16S ribosomal RNA". It matches the Rfam family "Bacterial small subunit ribosomal RNA", at positions 28 to 507 of the family's 1533-position model. The record is from RNAcentral.